UUGGGGGGGUUGCCCUAUUACUUGCAAGUCGAACGAACUCUGGUAUUGAUUGGUGCUUGCAUCAUGAUUUACAUUUGAGUGAGUGGCGAACUGGUGAGUAACACGUGGGAAACCUGCCCAGAAGCGGGGGAUAACACCUGGAAACAGAUGCUAAUACCGCAUAACAACUUGGACCGCAUGGUCCGAGCUUGAAAGAUGGCUUCGGCUAUCACUUUUGGAUGGUCCCGCGGCGUAUUAGCUAGAUGGUGGGGUAACGGCUCACCAUGGCAAUGAUACGUAGCCGACCUGAGAGGGUAAUCGGCCACAUUGGGACUGAGACACGGCCCAAACUCCUACGGGAGGCAGCAGUAGGGAAUCUUCCACAAUGGACGAAAGUCUGAUGGAGCAACGCCGCGUGAGUGAAGAAGGGUUUCGGCUCGUAAAACUCUGUUGUUAAAGAAGAACAUAUCUGAGAGUAACUGUUCAGGUAUUGACGGUAUUUAACCAGAAAGCCACGGCUAACUACGUGCCAGCAGCCGCGGUAAUACGUAGGUGGCAAGCGUUGUCCGGAUUUAUUGGGCGUAAAGCGAGCGCAGGCGGUUUUUUAAGUCUGAUGUGAAAGCCUUCGGCUCAACCGAAGAAGUGCAUCGGAAACUGGGAAACUUGAGUGCAGAAGAGGACAGUGGAACUCCAUGUGUAGCGGUGAAAUGCGUAGAUAUAUGGAAGAACACCAGUGGCGAAGGCGGCUGUCUGGUCUGUAACUGACGCUGAGGCUCGAAAGUAUGGGUAGCAAACAGGAUUAGAUACCCUGGUAGUCCAUACCGUAAACGAUGAAUGCUAAGUGUUGGAGGGUUUCCGCCCUUCAGUGCUGCAGCUAACGCAUUAAGCAUUCCGCCUGGGGAGUACGGCCGCAAGGCUGAAACUCAAAGGAAUUGACGGGGGCCCGCACAAGCGGUGGAGCAUGUGGUUUAAUUCGAAGCUACGCGAAGAACCUUACCAGGUCUUGACAUACUAUGCAAAUCUAAGAGAUUAGACGUUCCCUUCGGGGACAUGGAUACAGGUGGUGCAUGGUUGUCGUCAGCUCGUGUCGUGAGAUGUUGGGUUAAGUCCCGCAACGAGCGCAACCCUUAUUAUCAGUUGCCAGCAUUAAGUUGGGCACUCUGGUGAGACUGCCGGUGACAAACCGGAGGAAGGUGGGGAUGACGUCAAAUCAUCAUGCCCCUUAUGACCUGGGCUACACACGUGCUACAAUGGAUGGUACAACGAGUUGCGAACUCGCGAGAGUAAGCUAAUCUCUUAAAGCCAUUCUCAGUUCGGAUUGUAGGCUGCAACUCGCCUACAUGAAGUCGGAAUCGCUAGUAAUCGCGGAUCAGCAUGCCGCGGUGAAUACGUUCCCGGGCCUUGUACACACCGCCCGUCACACCAUGAGAGUUUGUAACACCCAAAGUCGGUGGGGUAACCUUUUAGGAACCAGCCCGGCCCUAAAAAAGGGGUA
Molecule: ribosomal RNA, 1474 nt
Filed under: Lactiplantibacillus plantarum
Lineage: Bacteria; Bacillati; Bacillota; Bacilli; Lactobacillales; Lactobacillaceae
Description: bacterial SSU rRNA
Rfam family: Bacterial small subunit ribosomal RNA
Source: RNAcentral